RNAcentral lists this ribosomal RNA (253 nucleotides) under uncultured bacterium. RNAcentral's name for it is "partial 16S ribosomal RNA". It matches the Rfam family "Bacterial small subunit ribosomal RNA", at positions 524 to 776 of the family's 1533-position model. The record is from RNAcentral.
UACGUAGGGUGCGAGCGUUGUCCGGAAUUAUUGGGCGUAAAGGGCUCGUAGGCGGUCUGUCGCGUCGAAAGUGAAAACCCAGGGCUUAACCCUGGGCCUGCUUCCGAUACGGGCAGACUAGAGGUAUGCAGGGGAGAACGGAAUUCCCGGUGUAGCGGUGAAAUGCGCAGAUAUCGGGAGGAACACCGGUGGCGAAGGCGGUUCUCUGGGCCUGUACUGACGCUGAGGAGCGAAAGCGUGGGGAGCGAACAGG